Transfer RNA from Camelus ferus (Wild Bactrian camel), 74 nucleotides. It matches the Rfam family "tRNA". From Rfam's summary of the family: Transfer RNA (tRNA) molecules are approximately 80 nucleotides in length. The record is from Rfam. NCBI's taxonomy places the organism in Eukaryota, Metazoa, Chordata, Mammalia, Artiodactyla, Camelidae.
GAGGGUAUAGCGCAAAGUGGUAGAGCACAUGCUUAGUAUGUAUGAGAUCUUGAGUUCAAUCCCCAGUACCUCCU